CAUAGAGAGUGUGUUUUACAUGAGCGACACACACUUCAGUGCUCUGUGUGUGUUUAUAACUCUGACAAACAUCAAACAUGAUCAACAACUGUUUCUCACUAGAACUGAACCUACAACCAACAGAAAUGACUUUCAUCACCAUAUUGAUCUGGACUCUGACUGUAUUAUGUAGAGAAUCUAUUGGGCAGGUGACAGUGACUCAAACUCCCUCAGUGCUGCUCGCUCAAACUGGACAAUCAGUCACUGUGACCUGUAAAUCCAGCAGUGAUCCUACCUGCUGUUGUAGUGGAAAACAGUGUCUCAGCUGGUACUUACAGAAACCUGGAGAAGCUCCUAAACUCCUGAUUUAUUGGGCAAACCGUCUCCAGUCAGGAACUCCAUCUAGAUUCAGUGGCAGUGGAUCUAACAGUGAUUUCACUCUGACCAUCAGUGGAGUCCAGACUGAAGAUGCUGGACAUUAUUACUGUCAGAGUUACCACAGUGGUGGUGUGUUCACACAGUGAUUGUGAGUUGUACAAAAACCUGUGUCAGUCAGAGUCACAGUGACUGAACUGAUGCUGCAGCUGAUCAAACACUAUCACUCACUACUGACACACAGAGACCAAACACAGAACUACACAUGAGCUCACAACU
This is a non-coding RNA of Carassius carassius (crucian carp), 633 nucleotides long. The record is from the annotation of a RefSeq genome assembly. NCBI's taxonomy places the organism in Eukaryota, Metazoa, Chordata, Actinopteri, Cypriniformes, Cyprinidae.